This is a non-coding RNA of Gossypium hirsutum (cotton), 144 nucleotides long. NCBI's taxonomy places the organism in Eukaryota, Viridiplantae, Streptophyta, Magnoliopsida, Malvales, Malvaceae. The record is from Rfam.
UGUUGAAAUUUUUAUCCAUUUGUACUGUUAAAAAUUAGUGUCGUUAAUAGAAUAACCAAACAAUGACAUUGGCAUGUCACGUGUAUCUCAUACUGAUGCACAGCGACUAGUUUUUAACAAUAAAAAUAGAUGGAAUUUCUAAUA